UGAGUACGAGACGCUAAGGCGUCGAAGUAGUGUAUGUCAUACUUCCAAGAAAAGCUUGCACUGUCAUAAGUAAAAAAUGCCUGUACCAUAACCGACACAGGUGGGUAGGUAGAGUAUACUAAGGGGCGCGAGAUAACUCUCUCUAAGGAACUCGGCAAAAUAACUCCGUAACUUCGGGAGAAGGAGUACCUUAUUCUAUAAGGUUGCAAUAACAAGAUCCAAGCAACUGUUUAUCAAAAACACAGGUCUCCGCUAAGUCGUAAGACGAUGUAUGGGGGCUGACGCCUGCCCAGUGCCAGAAGGUUAAAGAAGUCGGUUAGCAUUAGCGAAGCUGGUAACUGAAGCCCUGGUGAACGGCGGCCGUAACGAUAACGGUCCUAAGGUAGCGAAAUUCCUUGUCGGGUAAGUUCCGACCCGCACGAAAGGCGUAAUGAUUUGGAUACUGUCUCGGAGAGGGGCUCGGUGAAAUAGACUUGUCUGUGAAGAUGCGGACUACCUGCACCAGGACAGAAAGACCCUAUGAAGCUUUACUGUACUUGAAAUUGAAAUUGGACUUUAUUCGCGCAGUAUAGGUGGGAGGUGUUGAUUAUAAUCUUGCGGGAUUAUUGGAGCCAUCAGUGAGAUACCACUCUUGUAAUGUUAGAUUUCUAACUUUGAAUCAUUAUCUGGUCAAAGGACAGUUUCAGGCGGGCAGUUUGACUGGGGCGGUCGCCUCCCAAACGGUAACGGAGGCGUACAAAGGUUUCCUCUGAACGGGUAGAAAUCGUAUCUAGAGUGUAAAGGCAUAAGGAAGCUUGACUGUGAGACCUACAAGUCGAACAGGGACGAAAGUCGGUCUUAGUGAUCUGACGGUACUGAGUGGAAAGGCCGUCACUCAACGGAUAAAAGUUACUCUAAGGAUAACAGGCUGAUCUCCCCCAAGAGUUCACAUCGACGGGGAGGUUUGGCACCUCGAUGUCGGCUCAUCGCAUCCUGGGGCGGUAGUACGUCCCAAGGGUUGGGCUGUUCGCCCAUGAAAGCGGUACGCGAGCUGGGUUCAGAACGUCGUGAGACAGUUCGGUCCAUAUCCGGUGUAGGCGUUAGAAUAUUGAGAGGAGCCUUCUUUAGUACGAGAGGACCGAGAAGGACAUACCUCUGGUGUACCAGUUAUCGUGCCAACGGUAAACGCUGGGUAGCUAUGUAUGGAGUGGAUAACCGCUGAAAGCAUCUAAGUGGGAAGCCCACCUCAAGAUAAG
RNAcentral lists this ribosomal RNA (1235 nucleotides) under metagenome. Its description in RNAcentral is "bacterial LSU rRNA". It matches the Rfam family "Bacterial large subunit ribosomal RNA", at positions 1564 to 2808 of the family's 2925-position model. The record is from RNAcentral.